AGGAUGAACGCUGGCGGCGUGCCUAACACAUGCAAGUCGAACGUCCUGUCUCGCAAGAGGCAGGGAGUGGCGGACGGGUGAGUACCACGUGGGUCAUCUACCGUGAGGUGAGGAAUACCGGCGAGAAAUCGCCGACAAGACCGCAUAGCCUCGGUGCAAGCCGAGGAAAGCUCUUUCGAGAGAGGGAGCGCCACACGAGGAGCCUGCGCCCGAUUAGCUAGCUGGUGGAGUAACGGUUCACCAGGGCGACGAUCGGUAGCUGGUCUGAGAGGACGAUCAGCCACACUGGGAUUGAGAACGGCCCAGACUCCUACGGGGGGCAGCAGUGAGGAAUUUUCGUCAAUGGGGCAACCCUGAACGAGCAACGCCGCGUGCAGGAAGAAGGUUUUCGGAUCGUAAACUGCUUUUCUCGGGGAAGAGAACGGACGGUACCCGAGGAAUCGAGCCCCGGCUAACUACGUGCCAGCAGCCGCGGUAA
This 478-nucleotide ribosomal RNA is filed under the name uncultured bacterium. RNAcentral describes it as "SSU rRNA". It matches the Rfam family "Bacterial small subunit ribosomal RNA", at positions 26 to 523 of the family's 1533-position model. The record is from RNAcentral.